Long non-coding RNA from Harpia harpyja (harpy eagle), 2297 nucleotides. RefSeq lists it as uncharacterized. The record is from RefSeq and is a predicted model, not a curated record. The transcript has 2 exons. Lineage: Eukaryota; Metazoa; Chordata; Aves; Accipitriformes; Accipitridae.
UGUGGGAAGAUCCCUGGCGAAAGGGUCCCUGGAGCGGGGUGGCCAGGGCUGGGAUCAGGUCCCCAUAGCACUGCCCGUGUCAUUCCGUCUCUCUCGGAAGUGUGACAGGACCCCCAACUGAGGCAGGUGCUAGAGGAGUCACUCCGCGAUACCUGGCCCCAGCCAGCACCAAGGAGUUAAUUAAAUAAAGCUCAUUACAAGAUGCCUAAAGGGGAGUGUACCUUUUCUUUCCCUCAUGGCACCCUCGUGGUUGGCAGGACCACAUGUGGGUGACACUGAGGUUGGGGGCUGCCAGCUGUGGGGCCCCUCUCAGAUCUUCCUGGGCUGGCGCCUGACAGGAUCAGGCCACAAGCCUCUAGUCAACACGCAGGGCAACGUUACUCACCAUUUUCCCCUUUUCAGCCAAGAACAUCGGCAUUGAUGAUGGGGGGCCCCAGCCGGGCCCUCAGGGCACAGCAGCUCCUAACCCACCCCGGCCCAGGCCCUCGCCCUGAGGCUGCACAGCAGGAACAGGCAGCAGGGGCCAAGCCCAGUGCUCUCUUCCUCAGUGCCGGCACCGGGCCUGGCCACUGGCUGCCGGGGCCCGGGGCUCGGGGCUGUGGCCGGCAGCCCCUGCCGAGGCAUAGGAGCCCCCAGGUACAAGAGGGGGCCCCAGCCCCUGGCCUGCAGAGAAUCAGCCUGUGGAGAGGGUCCGGGUUCGGCCUGCUGGGGCUGGUGCCCUCCCCUGCUCCCCAGCCCUGCUUUCCUGGACACAGUGUGAUGCUGUGUGGUUAUGGCGGAUGGGCCAGGAGCAGUGAGGGGCUUCUGCAAGCAGGUUCAUGGGUGCUGAUGUACUGUGUUGCUCAUCUUCUGUACUGCCCCUUCUACCCAAGCCUGUGGGAAGGUCCCAGGUGCAGUGGAUCAGCCUGGGGCUGAGUCAGGUGGGGCCAAGACCUUGGGUGCCCCAAACAGGUAUCCCCUUGUAUUGGGUCUGGCUGAGAUGGAGUUAAUUCUCCCCAUAGCAGCCCUCAUAGUGCUGUGCUCUGCAUUGGUAGCUAGAAAGGCGUUGAUAACAUACCAGUGUUUUGGCUACUGCUGAGCAGUGCUGGCACAGCAUCAAGGGUGUCUCUCCAACAUUUCUGACCCCCUCAACAGCAGGCUGGGGCUGGGUAAGAUCUUGGGAGGGGACAUAACCAGGACAGCUGACCUAAACUAACCAAACAGAUAUUCCAUACCAUAUGACAUCAGCUCAGAUAUAAAAGCUAAGUAGAGGGAGACGGAAGGGGGGCAUUUUUGUCUUCCAGAGCAACCACUACGCGUACUGAAGCCCUGCUUCCCAGGAAGUGGCUAGACAUCACCUGCUGAUGGGAAGUAGAGAAUAACAUCAUUUGUUUUUUCUUUGCUUUCGCGCAUGACCUUUGCUUUCACUUUAUUAAACUGUCCUUAUCUUGACCCACGAGCCUUUUGUUAUAUUUUCUCCCCCCUGUCCAGCUGAGGAGGGGGAGCGAUAGAGCAGCUUUGGUGAGCACCUGGCACCCAGCCAAGGCCAAGCCACCACACCCCCACUCCAGGCAAGGCGUCGGUGCCAGGACUCUGCAAAGGGAGGACAGACUCUGGAAAGGGGAGCGCCAGCCAUUGGAGGGAUCCAUCUCUCUUCAGCCAGGUCCCACAAGAAAAGCCAAUUCAGGGUGCCCAGCAAGGCCCCUCGGCCGUCGGGGAGCUCCAGUCCAAUGCCAGUCUCCAAAACCGGUUUCUGUCUCAGGAGGGGUGUCAGAGAAAUCCCCUUUCCCCCAGGGCUGCCCUCAGUGAAGGAAUGAACCCUGCAGGCGGGGGAAGCACCCUCCUUUUUUGGAGAUGGUUACCAGGGGAGCUGGCUCUGCUGCUCUUUCUUGCUGCCAGCCCUUGGUCUCAGUGACGAGCUUGAAUAUGUCCUGCCAUGUUGGAUGCAGCUCCAGCCUUUCUAGGACCCGGACUGCUUGUGGAGAAAGGUGGCUGCAACAGCAGGGAAAAGUCAUCCCUCAGCCUCUGCCGGAGACCCCUUCUGCCUUUGCUCCUUGUUUAGCCUCUGCACCUGCCCCAUCCCCUGUCCACCCACACUUUCACCCUGUGGUACGCAAUGCAGACAAGACACCGUCUGAUGCCUGAAAGCUUUUAUACACAACCAGGUAAAAGCCUUGUCCAGUGUCCAGAGACAACCUCACACAGCCACAGCUCCAGCCGUGUGGUGUCUGCCAGGAUAUCUCAGGACAGGUGCUGGAAUGGGGAGGGAAAAUGCUGGUGGAAGAUUCCUGCUUUUUAGUAAAUCUUUGUUAUCAUCA